RNAcentral lists this ribosomal RNA (497 nucleotides) under uncultured bacterium. Its description in RNAcentral is "partial 16S ribosomal RNA". It matches the Rfam family "Bacterial small subunit ribosomal RNA", at positions 28 to 507 of the family's 1533-position model. The record is from RNAcentral.
GACGAACGCUGGCGGCGUGCCUAAUACAUGCAAGUUGAGCGCUGAAGGUUGGUACUUGUACCGACUGGAUGAGCAGCGAACGGGUGAGUAACGCGUGGGGAAUCUGCCUUUGAGCGGGGGACAACAUUUGGAAACGAAUGCUAAUACCGCAUAAGAACUUUAAACACAAGUUUUAAGUUUGAAAGAUGCAAUUGCAUCACUCAAAGAUGAUCCCGCGUUGUAUUAGCUAGUUGGUGAGGUAAAGGCUCACCAAGGCGAUGAUACAUAGCCGACCUGAGAGGGUGAUCGGCCACAUUGGGAAUGAGACACGGCCCAAACUCCUACGGGAGGCAGCAGUAGGGAAUCUUCGGCAAUGGACGAAAGUCUGACCGAGCAACGCCGCGUGAGUGAAGAAGGUUUUCGGAUCGUAAAACUCUGUUGGUAGAGAAGAACGUUGGUGAGAGUGGAAAGCUCAUCAAGUGACGGUAACUACCCAGAAAGGGACGGCUAACUACGUG